This 23-nucleotide non-coding RNA is filed under the name Cricetulus griseus (Chinese hamster). Lineage: Eukaryota; Metazoa; Chordata; Mammalia; Rodentia; Cricetidae. The record is from RNAcentral.
GUGCAUGCAUAGAGAACUCCGCA